UAUGCUAAGUUUAAGCAUAUCAAUAAGCAGAGGAAAAGAAACUUACUAGGAUUCCCCUAGUAACGGCGAGCAAACUAGGAAAAGCCCAACUUGAGAAUUGAGCACCAUCAGCGUUCGAAUUAUAGGCUAGAGAAGCAUCUUUAGUGGCGGGCCGAGCCCAAGUCUCCUAGAAAGGGGCGCCGAAGAGGGUAAGAGCCCCGUCGUGCGCAGACUCUGUCGCACCACGUUGUGCUACCUACGAGUUGGGUUGUUUGGGAAUGCAGCUCUAAUUGAGCGGUAAAUUCUGUCCAAGGCUAAAUACGGGCAAGAGAGCGAUAGGGAACAAGUAUCGCGAGGGAAAUAUGAAAAGGGCUUUGAAAAGAGAGUCAAGGAGUGCUUGGACCAAGCGGAUAGUUUUAGAUUACUCUUUAGGGCUAGAAAAGUCUACUUGUAAGGUUGCAAUUUCAAGUAAACUUGAUCUCCCACCUUAAAUUUACUUUUAUUCCUUUUUUUUAUUUGCAUAAAACUUCAUUCGUUCUUGAGUCUUUUGUAAUUGGGCUAUUAAAAGUUUGCUAACUUGCUUUCUCUCUCUCAUUAACUUGUCAUCUACCGCUUCUUUGGAGCCACUAGAAGUAUCCCAAGCAAACAAGGGGUUGGUAUUUGUAUAAUCCUCAAAAAGGA
Molecule: non-coding RNA, 660 nt
Filed under: Gossypium hirsutum (cotton)
Lineage: Eukaryota; Viridiplantae; Streptophyta; Magnoliopsida; Malvales; Malvaceae
Description: Eukaryotic large subunit ribosomal RNA
Rfam family: Eukaryotic large subunit ribosomal RNA
Source: Rfam by way of RNAcentral